UCUCGGUUUCACCCCGGCGUAGCAUGUUUUUGUGGUGUGUUGUAGCUAAAGUCUGACAAAAGAGAGCAUCUGCUGAUGAAUAAAUGUCUGAAGAUGCGAAGGUCUGCUAUGGGUCAACAGAUGUUAACGAACAACAAAUGAUAUUCAAUCUUAAAAUGUUUAACAGAGGAUUUGAUACUAACAGUGGUUGGGCUAAUAGCAGAUGUUAGACUUACGACUGUUGAGUUACACCGUUUGAAAAUAACUGUUUUUGAAACUUCUGCUUGCCUAGAAAUACAUCUAUUG
RNAcentral lists this long non-coding RNA (285 nucleotides) under Helianthus annuus (common sunflower). Its description in RNAcentral is "sRNA HanXRQr2_Chr02g0054141". The record is from RNAcentral. Lineage: Eukaryota; Viridiplantae; Streptophyta; Magnoliopsida; Asterales; Asteraceae.